RNAcentral lists this ribosomal RNA (505 nucleotides) under uncultured bacterium. RNAcentral describes it as "partial 16S ribosomal RNA". It matches the Rfam family "Bacterial small subunit ribosomal RNA", at positions 28 to 507 of the family's 1533-position model. The record is from RNAcentral.
GACGAACGCUGGCGGCGUGCCUAAUACAUGCAAGUAGAACGCACAGUUUAUACCGUAGCUUGCUACACCAUAAACUGUGAGUUGCGAACGGGUGAGUAACGCGUAGGUAACCUGCCUGGUAGCGGGGGAUAACUAUUGGAAACGAUAGCUAAUACCGCAUAAUAUUAAUUAUUGCAUGAUAAUUGAUUGAAAGAUGCAAUUGCAUCACUACCAGAUGGACCUGCGUUGUAUUAGCUAGUAGGUGAGGUAACGGCUCACCUAGGCGACGAUACAUAGCCGACCUUAGAGGGUGAUCGGCCACACUGGGACUGAGACACGGCCCAGACUCCUACGGGAGGCAGCAGUAGGGAAUCUUCGGCAAUGGACGAAAGUCUGACCGAGCAACGCCGCGUGAGUGAAGAAGGUUUUCGGAUCGUAAAGCUCUGUUGUAAGAGAAGAACGGGUGUGAGAGUGGAAAGUUCACACUGUGACGGUAUCUUACCAGAAAGGGACGGCUAACUACGUG